This 160-nucleotide non-coding RNA is filed under the name uncultured Acetatifactor sp. RNAcentral's name for it is "FMN riboswitch (RFN element)". It matches the Rfam family "FMN riboswitch aptamer (RFN element)". Rfam says of the family: The RFN element is a highly conserved domain that is found frequently in the 5'-untranslated regions of prokaryotic mRNAs that encode for flavin mononucleotide (FMN) biosynthesis and transport proteins. This element is a metabolite-dependent riboswitch that directly binds FMN in the absence of proteins. The record is from RNAcentral. Lineage: Bacteria; Bacillati; Bacillota; Clostridia; Lachnospirales; Lachnospiraceae.
UUCUUCGGGGUUGGGUGAAAUUCCCUACUGGCGGUAAGCGUUUUGCGGUUGGCAAAGGGCGAGUCCGCGACCCGCACGGCAGCUUGGAUAAAAGGCGGGCGCUGUGCGGCUGAUUCGGUGAGAAUCCGAGACCAACAGUAAAGUCUGGAUGAAAGAAGAA